Molecule: ribosomal RNA, 115 nt
Filed under: Colpodella angusta
Lineage: Eukaryota; Colpodellaceae
Description: partial small subunit ribosomal RNA
Rfam family: Eukaryotic small subunit ribosomal RNA
Source: RNAcentral
CCUACCGAUUGAAUGUUCCGGUGAAUUAUUCGGACUGUGGUAUAGUACUUGUAUUAUACUAUGGGAAGUCUUGUGAACCUUAACAUUUAGAGGAAGGAAAAGUCGUAACAAGGUU